AAGUCGUAACAAGGUUUCCGUAGGUGAACCUGCGGAAGGAUCAUUAAUGAAUAAACGAAGGGUUGUCGCUGGCUCUUGGGAGCAUGUGCACGCCUUUCAAAUUCAUCUUAACCACCUGUGCACUUUUAGUAGGCUUAUGAUAGCUCUCAGUCUUCGGACUGGAUAGAGGACUUAUGCGUCUUCAAUAUCAUGGUCUACGUUUCAUCUAUAUACUAUACUGUCCAGAAUGUCUGUUAUUAGGUCUUGCACCUAUAAACUUUAUACAACUUUCAACAACGGAUCUCUUGGCUCUC
Molecule: unclassified non-coding RNA, 293 nt
Filed under: fungal sp.
Lineage: Eukaryota; Fungi
Description: partial internal transcribed spacer region
Rfam family: Eukaryotic small subunit ribosomal RNA (bases 1-46)
Source: RNAcentral